UUUUUGGCAUCAUCUGAAAAAUAGAGGACGGACUCCUUAGGUAAUCUAAAAAUGAAUAAGGCUAUUAUUGUCCAAACACUAGAAUUUUAUCCUUCUUUAUAAAUACUUCCCUCAUUUUGGGCUGAAUCAAAAGUCCCCCAUAAUUUAAACUAUUAAGCAAGACUUUUAAUACCUCGAUGUGGGAUUCAGACUCUCAACAAAACUUGCUUACCAUUAUAAAUAACCCAAAUGAUCGAGUAAAGCUCAGUCUCUGUUAUUAAAAUAAAAGAAAAAAAAAAACAAGAACGAGUAGGCCAAAGUAAGAGCAAAACAUAGGUUAAGGGGGCAUAUUGAACUAUUUUAACUUUCAAGGGACAAUGUGAGAUUUGAUGAUAAUUUUAGGGAAAGUAAAGCAAUUAACCCCUAAAAAAGAAAGAUAAUUAAGGGAGUGCCAAUGUUGUGGCACUAAUGAAAAAUUGUGACAUAAUUGACAGUUGAGGGGACAUGAACUGAAAUAUAUAUAUAUAUAUAUAUUUUAGGAAUUAUGGAAUUGCAUUCAUAAUUCAGCCAAAAAAGCCACUAGCCACAAAGGGCAAUUACAAUAAGGGAGCGAUCUAACAUCAAAAUUAAGACAAUCUAGGGCUAUUCCACUAAUGAUCACACAAGAUCGAAGAGACUCUAACCUGCAUUCCAACUAAGAGUGCAAACUCAUAACUACCAAAAAUAGAUAAAGCUUGAAAACAACAAGCCUUGACAAAACAAAUAAAACUCUCACAAAUGAGAGGUGGAAAGCUCUCACAAAGAAGUGGUGAAAAACUCUCAUGAAAUGAGGAGUAAUGCUAUUUAGACACACAACAUUGAUCACCUUAGCUAACCACCUUAUGUGGCAACUGAUGUGUCAUGCCAUAUCAAUUAAUCAAUGUUGCCAUGUGUAUUCUAUUUAUUUAUUUAUUAUCUUUUCAAUAAUCCUUAAAAAAAAUUUAAAAAAUUUAAAAUUUAAAAUUAAAAUAAAAAAACCCUAGCGUCCCGGGUAAGUGGCCUCACGUUUGUUCUCAACUCUUGCUAGCGUCUCUAAUAUUUCCUUCCUCCAUGGUUGCUGCACUAUGAUAGGAGUAUCGCUAGAACGUGGCUGUGAUAGGAGUCCCCCCAAUUACUCUAUUCUCUACUUUGUUUCUCUCAUUGCCUCCCUUCCUCCACCAAAUUUAUCCAUCCCCAUCAUCCACUGUUGUUGGUGAGAGUUAAAGUUUUCUCAAUAAAAAUGAAAUUUGCAUCCCCUGGGUGAUUGGGUGGGUUGAAGAAUGGAGAGGUUCACUUAUCUAUUCUUCUCCAAAAGCCUGUCUGAAAAAGAGUUUGAACAUUGAGGUACAUACCCAAUUUUUAGUGUAAUUUUGUUGUAAAAAUUGAUAUCCAGGUUCUUAGUUUUUGUUUCUUGAAUAUGCAAUUUGUUGUGAAA
Molecule: long non-coding RNA, 1432 nt
Filed under: Prunus persica (peach)
Lineage: Eukaryota; Viridiplantae; Streptophyta; Magnoliopsida; Rosales; Rosaceae
Description: long non-coding RNA (PPER_LNC002357)
Source: RNAcentral